Molecule: ribosomal RNA, 160 nt
Filed under: uncultured bacterium
Lineage: Bacteria
Description: partial 16S ribosomal RNA
Rfam family: Bacterial small subunit ribosomal RNA
Source: RNAcentral
CCUACGGGAGGCAGCAGUGGGGAAUAUUGCACAAUGGGGGGAAACCCUGAUGCAGCGACGCCGCGUGGAGGAAGAAGGUCUUCGGAUUGUAAACUCCUGUUGUUUGAGGAAGAUAAUGACGGUACUCAACAAGGAAGUGACGGCUAACUACGUGCCAGCA